Molecule: ribosomal RNA, 467 nt
Filed under: uncultured bacterium
Lineage: Bacteria
Description: partial 16S ribosomal RNA
Rfam family: Bacterial small subunit ribosomal RNA
Source: RNAcentral
GACGAACGCUGGCGGCGUGCUUAACACAUGCAAGUCGAACGGUGAUGCUCCAGCUUGCUGGAGUGGAUCAGUGGCGAACGGGUGAGUAACACGUGAGCAACCUGCCCCAGACUCUGGAAUAAGCGCUGGAAACGGCGUCUAAUACUGGAUACGAAACUGGCCCGCAUGGGCAUGGUUUGGAAAGUUUUUCGGUUUGGGAUGGGCUCGCGGCCUAUCAGCUUGUUGGUGAGGUAAUGGCUCACCAAGGCGACGACGGGUAGCCGGCCUGAGAGGGCGACCGGCCCCCCGGGGACGGGGACACGGCCCAGACCCCGACGGGAGGGAGGAGUGGGGAAUUUUGCAAAAGGGGCGAAAGCCUGAUGCAGCGACGCCGCGUGGGGGAUGACGGCCUUGGGGUUGAAAACCUUUUUCAGCGGGAAAGAAGCGAAAGUGACGGUACCGGCAAAAGAAGCACCGGCUAACUACGU